Molecule: transfer RNA, 74 nt
Filed under: Camelus bactrianus (Bactrian camel)
Lineage: Eukaryota; Metazoa; Chordata; Mammalia; Artiodactyla; Camelidae
Also listed under: 2 other names
Rfam family: tRNA
About the family: Transfer RNA (tRNA) molecules are approximately 80 nucleotides in length. Their secondary structure includes four short double-helical elements and three loops (D, anti-codon, and T loops).
Source: Rfam by way of RNAcentral
GAGGGUAUAGCUCGAAGUGGUAGAGCACUUUCUUGGCAUGUAUGAGGUCCUGUGUUCAAUCCCCAGUACCUCCU